Molecule: ribosomal RNA, 621 nt
Filed under: Bacillus atrophaeus
Lineage: Bacteria; Bacillati; Bacillota; Bacilli; Caryophanales; Bacillaceae
Description: bacterial SSU rRNA
Rfam family: Bacterial small subunit ribosomal RNA
Source: RNAcentral
UAACACGUGGGUAACCUGCCUGUAAGACUGGGAUAACUCCGGGAAACCGGGGCUAAUACCGGAUGCUUGUUUGAACCGCAUGGUUCAAACAUAAAAGGUGGCUUCGGCUACCACUUACAGAUGGACCCGCGGCGCAUUAGCUAGUUGGUGAGGUAACGGCUCACCAAGGCGACGAUGCGUAGCCGACCUGAGAGGGUGAUCGGCCACACUGGGACUGAGACACGGCCCAGACUCCUACGGGAGGCAGCAGUAGGGAAUCUUCCGCAAUGGACGAAAGUCUGACGGAGCAACGCCGCGUGAGUGAUGAAGGUUUUCGGAUCGUAAAGCUCUGUUGUUAGGGAAGAACAAGUGCCGUUCAAAUAGGGCGGCACCUUGACGGUACCUAACCAGAAAGCCACGGCUAACUACGUGCCAGCAGCCGCGGUAAUACGUAGGUGGCAAGCGUUGUCCGGAAUUAUUGGGCGUAAAGGGCUCGCAGGCGGUUUCUUAAGUCUGAUGUGAAAGCCCCCGGCUCAACCGGGGAGGGUCAUUGGAAACUGGGGAACUUGAGUGCAGAAGAGGAGAGUGGAAUUCCACGUGUAGCGGUGAAAUGCGUAGAGAUGUGGAGGAACACCAGUGGCG